UCCUAAAUGUAAAUAAAUAUUAAAAUUUACCAGAGUAUUACGAACUGAUGGUUUAAAAUUCAAAGAACUUGGCGGUGUUUUAGACUUUUUAGGGGAACCUGUCUCAUAAUCGACAAUCCACGUUAUACCUAACCUUUAUUUGUUAGACAGUUUGUAUACCGUCGUCGUCAGGCAACCUUUAAGAGAUUAAGGAGUUGGCGAUAAUAAAUUAUUUUAAUUUAUACGUCAGAUCAAGGUGCAGCUUAUAUAAAGGUGAAGAUGGGUUACAAUUAUAUAAAUCAUAAUUACGAAUAAAUUAGUUGAAAUAUAUUUGAAAGGAGGACUUGAAAGUAAAGAUAUUAAGUAGUUAAAUAACUUGAAUGAGGCUCUGAAACGUGU
RNAcentral lists this ribosomal RNA (378 nucleotides) under Ancilla aureocallosa. Its description in RNAcentral is "partial 12S ribosomal RNA". Lineage: Eukaryota; Metazoa; Mollusca; Gastropoda; Neogastropoda; Olividae. The record is from RNAcentral.